CUAAAGAUAUUUGGUUUGACGAAUGUAAUCCCAAGAUCUUUCAGGAUACUAUCUCUGUAUCUGUCCAUUAGGUGGAGUCCACUUGAGUGCACUUACACAAAUUAUAAAUGUUGGAUGAAUAUAAAUCAAUAUGCACUUAGGGUAAUUUUGUUAUCAUUAAAAAAAAUCAAAAAUAACAAAAAGCCAAAAAAAGAAAAAAAAAAGAAGAAAGAGAG
RNAcentral lists this long non-coding RNA (215 nucleotides) under Capsicum annuum. RNAcentral describes it as "long non-coding RNA (CANN_LNC021202)". Lineage: Eukaryota; Viridiplantae; Streptophyta; Magnoliopsida; Solanales; Solanaceae. The record is from RNAcentral.